This 328-nucleotide ribosomal RNA is filed under the name uncultured eukaryote. Its description in RNAcentral is "partial 18S ribosomal RNA". It matches the Rfam family "Eukaryotic small subunit ribosomal RNA", at positions 1470 to 1796 of the family's 1831-position model. The record is from RNAcentral.
CCCUUAGAUGUCCGGGGCUGCACGCGCGCUACACCGAAGGAAUCAGCGUGCUAAAACCAUUGUCGAAAGGCAUUGGUAAACCCAUUAAAAUCCUACGUGAUUGGGAUCGGGAAUUGCAAUUAUUUCCCUUGAACGAGGAAUUCCCAGUAAGUGUGGGUCAUAAGCUCGCGUUGAUUACGUCCCUGCCCUUUGUACACACCGCCCGUCGCUGCCCGGGACUGAGCCGUUUCGAGAAAAGCGGGGACUGCUGCUGUCGGGGCUUUCGGGCCUUGGCUUCGGUGGAAACCGCUUUAAUCGCAGUGGCUUGAACCGGGCAAAANUCGUAACA